GUCAGCGGCCAUAGGAGCGGGGAAACACCCGAACCCAUUCCGAACUCGGAAGUUAAGCUCGCUCACGAUGGUGCCUGUACUGCUUUGCAGCGGGAACGCCCAUUGUUGCUGACC
This 114-nucleotide ribosomal RNA is filed under the name Microcaldota archaeon. Lineage: Archaea; Nanobdellati; Microcaldota. The record is from RNAcentral.